This 164-nucleotide small nuclear RNA is filed under the name Saimiri boliviensis boliviensis (Bolivian squirrel monkey). Its description in RNAcentral is "U1 spliceosomal RNA (ENSSBOG00000007575.1)". It matches the Rfam family "U1 spliceosomal RNA". Rfam says of the family: U1 is a small nuclear RNA (snRNA) component of the spliceosome (involved in pre-mRNA splicing). Its 5' end forms complementary base pairs with the 5' splice junction, thus defining the 5' donor site of an intron. Lineage: Eukaryota; Metazoa; Chordata; Mammalia; Primates; Cebidae. The record is from Rfam by way of RNAcentral.
AUACUUACCCGGCAGGGGAGAUACCAUGAUCAGGAAGGUGGUUUUCCCAGGGCGAGGCUUACCCACUGCACUCCAGAUGUGCUGACCCCCGCGAUUUCCCCAAAAGUGGGAAACUCGACUGCAUAAUUUGUGGUAGUAGGGGAAUGCGUUCGUGUACUCCCCGG